Molecule: ribosomal RNA, 279 nt
Filed under: uncultured Streptococcus sp.
Lineage: Bacteria; Bacillati; Bacillota; Bacilli; Lactobacillales; Streptococcaceae
Description: partial 16S ribosomal RNA
Rfam family: Bacterial small subunit ribosomal RNA
Source: RNAcentral
AAUAAACCGGAGGAAGGUGGGGAUGACGUCAAAUCAUCAUGCCCCUUAUGACCUGGGCUACACACGUGCUACAAUGGUUGGUACAACGAGUUGCGAGUCGGUGACGGCAAGCUAAUCUCUUAAAGCCAAUCUCAGUUCGGAUUGUAGGCUGCAACUCGCCUAUAUGAAGUCGGAAUCGCUAGUAAUCGCGGAUCAGCACGCCGCGGUGAAUACGUUCCCGGGCCUUGUACACACCGCCCGUCACACCACGAGAGUUUGUAACACCCGUCGACGCGGCCG